UGGAAUGAAACAGACAUUUGAAUUUUGAGCUGUAACAGAGUUGAAUUACAAUUGCGACUGCAGUCAGCAGUCGGCAAGCGUUUAUGUAUAAAUAUUGAUAUUCGUUUAAAAAAAGUAGCACACAAACUUAUGUAUUACUUUUUAAUUAAAAAAAUUGAGUCAAGUGAUAAAAUGGCCAGAAAAAAAAACAAAAAUGGAAUCAUUUUUUUGGGAGAUUUAUAUUACUAGUCACAAAUUGUAUUUAUAAAAUGGAGCCAGAUCUGAGAUUGGUAGAGUAACAGUUUCGAAACGGUGAAAAACAGCGUUAUGUAUAAUUAAUACCUUUUAGGAAAUGAAUCACUGAUCUGCAUGAUUCGUCAUACGUCCUCAAAUGCAUCACAGAAAUCUACCUAUGAUGCGCAUCAACAUCUCAAACUAUCAGCUACAGUGCAGUGAUACAUUAACCAUCAGAAUAAAAUCCAAGUCGGAAAUUAAAACUUUCAGAAAACAAAUAUUUCAUCAUUCAUCUGAUUAUUUUUUAGACAACUUUCAAGGAUACAAAACCUAUUUGAUAUUUUAUAAGGUAGACUGUACUUAUUGCAUUUCGCCCCCCAAGGUGCCGAAAUGUUAAUAUUCAGAGUAAAAAAUUUCAGACUGAACUAAGAAAAUAUAAUAAUACAAAAAUACAAUGUUUUUAA
Lucilia sericata (common green bottle fly) is the source of this 677-nucleotide long non-coding RNA. RefSeq lists it as uncharacterized. The record is from RefSeq and is a predicted model, not a curated record. NCBI's taxonomy places the organism in Eukaryota, Metazoa, Arthropoda, Insecta, Diptera, Calliphoridae. The transcript is spliced from 2 exons.